Molecule: long non-coding RNA, 1453 nt
Filed under: Elaeis guineensis (African oil palm)
Lineage: Eukaryota; Viridiplantae; Streptophyta; Magnoliopsida; Arecales; Arecaceae
Description: long non-coding RNA (EGUI_LNC029951)
Source: RNAcentral
AUAUUUUUGGUACGGUAAAAUCAUAAUAAAAGAUAUUACAUGAUGUUGUAUAGUAAAAAAUAAUAUAAUAUAAUAUAUUAUAUUAUUAUAUAUUAAAAUAUUAUUAUAUUAUAUUAUAUUUUUAUAAUAUAAUUUAUAUUUAAUAUAAUAUAUUACUUAUAAUCUAAUUUAAUAAUAAAUUAUUAUAUUAUGUUAUAAUAUUAUAAUAUUAUAAUAGAUUAUAUUAUAUAUUUAUAAUAUGAAUAUUAUUUUAUUGUAUGAUAUUAUUAUCAUAAUUCUGAUGUAAUAUAUAAUAUAAUAUACUACAAAAGUUUAUAAUCUAAUCUAAUAAUAAAUUAUAACAUAAUAUAUUAUAUUAUAUUAUUAUUAAAUAUUUUUAUAUCAAAUUAUAUUUUUAUAAUAUAAUAAUACCAUAAUAUGUUAUGUUAUAUAUUUAUAAUAUAUCAUAAUAUCAAUUUAUUAUUAUAUUAUAUUAUAUUUAUAAUAUAAUAAUAAUAUACGAUAUGAUAUAAGAUAUAAUUAUAAAAUCACAAAAAAAAAUUUAUUUAAUUCAAAAUAAUUUUUUAAUAUUAAUUAAAAAUAUUUAAAAAUUAAAAUAAAUUUUUUUCAAAUAGAUUUUUUCUCCACAAUUUCUUAUCCAAAAAGCACUUUAUGAUGUUCAAAAAGUGCUUUAUGAUGCUCUAAAAGACCUAAAUUUCGAUUUGCUCACAUUGGCAGCUGUAAAAUUUUGAUAGGAUUAGGUUAGCUAAGCUCUUGACAUGAACGUGAUCUACGUUUUAUAAGUCCAAUUGCCAUUUGGAUCUAGCUUUCAUAAAGUUAGCGGGGCACAAAAUUGCACACGUAAAAAAAUUUAGGAACACACAAACCCAAAUUGGGACAGUUUUAUUGGUAUAUACGCUUGGCUAAUGGUCUCCAAACUAGACAAAAAAUGUGAUUGGAAUUGGGUGAAUUAAAUAUUGAUUUGUAGUGACAAUUGAGACAUUUGUUAAAGUUAGGGUCUAUUUGGAUAAUUCAGUAGAAUUGGACUAGAGCUGGAAUGUAAUGGGUGAAGAAUUCUUGUACUUCUUGUAGACCAACAGAUUGGGACUUAAGUAAUCUGAAAUUUGGAUAAGUUCUUGGAAGAUUGUGGACUGCGCAGGCCAACAGGCCUAAUUCUUAUAUAAUUUUUUAUUUAUUUGUUCUUUUAAUUGUGAUUAUAUUUUAUUUUGGCCUAAAACUGAGAUUUUAAUUUUGUUUUCUUAUUUGUAUUCGAUCGAAAUCAUAUGGGUAAUCCAGAAGAAGAAGAAGAAGAAAGAAUAUUUUUAAAAAAUAUUUUUUAGAAGAAAUAUUUUUAACUUUGAAGACUCAUAUUUUUAUAUGGCAGAGAAAAGCUCACUUUAAUUUUGACUUCAACAAAAAUGGUACAAUAUGUUAAUCCUAAAAUAUUAUUAAAUAUAUAUAAAUUAGCUAAAAC